This 33153-nucleotide long non-coding RNA is filed under the name Gossypium barbadense (sea-island cotton). RNAcentral describes it as "long non-coding RNA (GBAR_LNC023216)". Lineage: Eukaryota; Viridiplantae; Streptophyta; Magnoliopsida; Malvales; Malvaceae. The record is from RNAcentral.
AUAGUGAGCAUCCUUCAGCCCUACGAUAGCUCUGACAACUUGCCCUUAUCAUGUGGGGGUGCAUUUUCCGCCGAAGCUCAUAUCCAUGCAAAUGGAGAUGGAUCUCUAAACCUGACAGCACAAAUCAUGUGGAGCGGUUGCAAGUAGCCUGACUCUCUUUGCAUCAUAUAUUGCUCCAUGCUUAUCUCUAUCAGUUUGUGCUGUGUGACCCACGGAGGCUGUCUACUUCUUUAUAUUAAUAAUACUAUUAAAUAAAUUUGACAGCCACCCCAUAAUAUACUACUGGAUUCCUACUUCUUCUACCUUACCUAUUCAACAUUGUGUGCCUUGUUUCUCCUUUUUCUUUUCUUUUCUGUAAUAGUAUAUACACACACGAUUGUGUGAAUUAAUAAAAAAUGUCUAUGUCUGUGUCUAUAUCUAUAUCUUUAUAAAAGUCUCAACUACAUUAAAAAGUGUUGGGUGCAAUACUAAGGCAUAUUGCAUAUUGCAAGUUUAUCUCUAUAUUUCACUCAAAUUUGAAAUUGAAUCUCUAUAGUUUAAUUCUAACAUAAGUUGGCACCUGAAUUCUUAUAAUGUCUUUCGUUAGUCUAAAUAUGUUAUUCUAAUUGAAACGCUCAUGGGAAUUUAAAAGGAUUAUUAACACCAUCAAAAUUCUCUAUUAAAUUAAUUCUAGUCAAUUACAAUGUAAUUUUCUUUUGCUCCUUGGAUACCAAGUAUAAGUAUAUUUUUUUAAUUUGAAAAUGGCAUGCCAACAAAUUUAACAAAAGAAUUAUAACAACGCUAACAAAUGGACCUAAAUUCAAGAUGUGGAGUUCUCUAUUGAUGUGACUUCGAGGAUCCCUCCUAUAACAGGUGUGCUAUAUAGAAUCACUCCAGCAGACAUGAAGGAGUUGAAAGUUCAGCUACAAGAACUGUUAGAUAAUGGGUUCAUCAGAUCAAGUGUUUCGCCUUGGGGUGCACCAAUAUUGUUUGUUACGAAGAAGGAUGAGACCCUCCGAUUAUGUAUUGAUUAUAGGUAGCAGAAAAAGUGACCAUAUUAAGUUGCCCAGGAUUGAGAACUUUUUUGAUCAGCUGACUGGAGCUAGAGUUUUCUCAAAGAUUGAUCUAUGAGCUAGGUAUUAUCAAGUUGAAACUUCCAAAUAUAAAACAACGUAAGAUGUUAAUAAUAUCCUCUUAACAAUAAUAAGAUGACUUGUAAUAUUAAGACGAAGACCGGUAAUAAUAUCUUAACAAUUUAAACUAUUUUAUUUGGAAACCUAACUAAGGAUCAUUCCCUUGCAUGUCCCAACUUGGUGGGUAACAAGUCUUUUAAAAGAAUAGCAGGGGUAUGGGGUGAUUUAAUUGCACUGGGCAAGAACCCCAACAAGGCGAGUUGUUUUGCUAGUAUGCCAAAGCUGGUCAGCAUCAUGAAACCAAAAAAGGUUGACGAUCUGAUUUUUCUAGAGGUGGGGAGUUCUAGGUUUCCCAUUAGAGUGGUAGAACAGGGGUUGUCUGAAGUUGAAUAUGCGAGCCAGUCCUUGACGGGUAACAGUGGCGGCGACGGGAAGAAUAUUGAGUAGGGUAGGGCUGAUUUCGUCAUGUCAGAAUUCGAAUCGGUGCUAGGCCUUAGGUCGGAUUGGUUGAAAUAUAGUCAUAGAAUGUGAUUCAAUUACUGGUUCGGAUUGGUUGAAAUAUAGCCAUCUUCAGUCGUGGUCGUUUAGGAAUUUGUUCGCGAAUAUUGAAGGAAGUUUAAGGCGAAUGGUUGAGGUUUAGAUUGAAGUCACAAAUCGAGGUAAGAAUGGAAUGGUGGAAGCCUUGGCUAAAGCAGGUUUGUCAAGGAAUACCUUGUUUAGAGCAUAUUGGUAAUCCAUUUUAGGGUUUGCUGCUUUUAUGGUUUUUUGUGCUCUGUUUUGGCAUAGUUUUGCAGCUUUUGGUUCCUUGUUCGAACUGGUAUGGGCUGGGUGAUCCCAACAUCUCUUCCUGUAAUCAAUUGACUGAGGAAAAAAAAAGAUGGUCAACAGUCAAUGUCGUAACCAUUCUUUUGAAAAAACGGGUAUCGACUUGGAGAAAAAAACGAAAACAGGAGUCGCCACCAAUCUUUUUAGGUGUGAUCGGAUCACCUUAAGUUAAUCAUUUUAAUAAAAGUUAAGAUUUACUAAAACGAUAAUUUUUGGUCUACGAAAAUCAGAAAAUGAGUUCGGGAGUCGGUUACGCACGAGGAAGGAUUAGCACCCUCGAUACGCCCAAAAUUGGUACCUAGUUGAUUAAUUAGUGUCUUAGUGUCAAAAAUUUGAAAACUUGAAAGAAUUUAAAAUACGAUCCCUCUUUGUAAAGAAAAUGCUCAAAUGUUAAGGACCUUCUCGUCUCACAAUAUAAAAUGUCACAUCCCGUAAGUUAGGACACGACAUCUUGAAUUUUCGAGAGCGAGCUUGCCUUUUAUAUAAAAAUUCGUGUAUUUCAAAAGGUUAUUCAGUUAGUUAAGGUGAACGAGGAAAAUCGAAACCCAGUAAGUUAGGGCACGCUUCCUCGAAUUCCCAAACACCGAAUAUUGCCUUUACUUACAAAAAUCUUAUUUCGAGGUAACAAAAUGCCAUACCCAGUAAGUUAGGGCACAACACCUCGUAUCUCCGAGAAUAAGCAUUUUUCAAUACUCAUGUCGCGAUUUAAAAGAGUAUUCCGUUAUUUAGGUUAAAGGAGAAAAAUCGAAACCCAGUAAGUUAGGGCACGAUUGUCUCGAAUUACCAAAUACGGAAUGUUACUUUUAUGAAAGAAUUAUUAUUAGGUUGGACAUAAUGAUAAUAAGAAUAAUAUUAAAGUAAAGUAAAUAAUAAUACUAUAUAUAAAAAUAUAUAUAUGUAUAAUAGAAAUACACACUACUAUAUAAUAAUAAUAAUAAAUAUAGAAAUACAAAAAGAAAAUAUAAUAAAAAUAUUAAAUUAAAGUAAUAAAAAAACAAUACUAUAUAUAAAUAUAUAUAUACAUAAAAAUAUACACUAUUAUAUAAUAAUAAUAGUAAUAGCAAAAAUAAUGAAAAUAUGAGUAAUAUUAAUAAUAUAUUAGAAUACAAAAGUAAAGUAAUAACAAUAGGGGUGAUAAUAAUAAUAAUAAUAAUACAAACAAUAAUACAUAUAUAUAUAAAAAUAGUAGUCAGAAAUAAAAAAUAAUAGAAGUAACAAUAAUGAUAGUAAUAAUAUAAAUAAAUAUGGAGAGGGCAUAUAUAAUAUAAUAAUAUAAAUAAUAAUAUACACUUGAGAAAUAAUAAUAUAAAUAAUAGUAAAAAUAAAAAAAUAAAACAAAGCUCUCAACUCUCUUUCUCCCUCUUUUCUAAAUCCGUCCGUUGGUCCGGCUUUGCUUCGGUCAUGGACCCCCACGGGCGGCCAUCGGCGCCACCGUACACGGCGGCCGAUCCUCAAAAAAAAACUUUUUCGGUAAUGAAAAUAUGGGUAAGCUUCUUACUUUUAUUUUUACUUUCGUAUAAAAAAAACAAAAUAAAAUUGAAAGGAAAACAAUAAACAAAUAAAGAACUUAAGAUGAGAAUAGAUAAAAGAAACCUCUUUUGCUUUGAUCUUUGAUUAAUCUCCAAAAACUAGCCUUUCCAAAAAACAAAAAACAACCCCCGUCUAACAUAGUCUUGAAUGGCUUUUAUAGCCAAAUUUUUACAAAUAAAUUUUUUGUAAGCAAGUGGAGUGGUUGGGGUGGUUUAGGUGGCCAAGGUGGGUGGCCAACAAGGGUGGUGGAGUAGGUGGCCAAGGUGGGUGGCCAACAAGGGUGGUGAAGUAGGUGGGAUUAGGGUUUUCUUUUUCUGAUUUUUUUUUUGUUGGGUUAGUGUUUUGGGCUAAGUUUUGGGCUAAGGGUUUUGGGUUUGUAUUGGGUUUUAAUUGGGUAGUUGGGUUAUGUUUAUUUGGGCCCAAAAUUGGGCUUGUACAGCUGCCUCUCUUUGCUUGUUGUCGUGUAACGAGAACAGAGCAAAGACUUAAGAAAGACCAAUUUUGCUCGGUUUCACUAUGUCUGGACUUGUUUAGCGCUCCAUUUCUCCAGGUAGCUUUCUUCCAAUCUUGUUGCUUCGCUUCGCUUCACUGCUCUACUACAACUUCAAGAAGGUAAGGUUUGUUUUGAUCUUCUCCACUGCAACUCCAUGGAGAUAAGACACGUGACUUCAAUCAAUUCCACUGAAACUUCAAGGAGAUCUGCUGUAGCUUCGAUUAAUCCACUGAAACUUCAAGGAGAUCUGCUGUGGCUUUUAGCUGCUCCAACGCCAUUUCAGGGAGAAGAUUUUUGAUUUUCAACCUGUUACCCUACUGCUUAGGGGGUUAAGGCUUGUCAUCAUUGAUCUGUUUCCCUACUGCUUAGGUUUUUAAGAUCUUGUAAAAUCAGCCUGUUACCCUACUGCUUAGGGGUUUAAGGCUCAUCGCCUUCGAUCUGUUUCCCUACUGCUUAGGGGGUUAAGAUCUAUAAAUUUAGUCUGUUACCCUACUGCUUAGGGUUUUAAGACUCAUCAUCUUCAAUCUGCUUCCCUACUUGCUUAGGGGGUUGAGGUCUGUAAAUUUAGCCUGUUACCCUACUGCUUAGGGGUUUAAGACUCAUCAUCUUCAAUCUGUUUCCCUACUGCUUAGGGGGUUGAGAUCUGUAAAUCUUCAAUCUGCUUCACUGCAAUCUUCAGGAAGACAAGAUUCGCUGAAUUUGAUCUGUUCCACUACAACUUCAGGGAGACAAGAUUUGUAAUUUUUAGCCUAUUACCCUACUACUUAGGGGGUUAAGGUCUGUAAAUUUGGCUUGUUACCCUACUGCUUAGGGGGUUAAAGCUCAUUAUUUUUGAUCUGUUUCCCUACUGCUUAGGGUGAUAAGAUCUAUGAACUUCAACUUGUUACCCUACUGCUUAGGGGGUUAAAGCUCGUUGCCUUUGAUCUAUUCCCCUACUGCUUAUGGGGUAAGAUCUGUGAAUUCACUGAUUCUAGGGACAUGACCUGUAGAAUCAGUUCCAUGUAUUUAUGCUUAUGUCAAAGAACUAGGAUGUUAUGAUCAAAAUGAAUCAAAUGUUCCUAAUUAGAUGCACUUAUGAAUGAUCUAUGAAUGUAUGAGUGCAGCAUGUUGUGAGCGUGAAUCCCUAUUUAGGUUGCCAUUGCUCUUUGUUCAUCAAGGUUCCUUCACUGAAAUGGUACCCUGUCUUCUUGUUCAGCUCAAAUUUUGAACAGAAAACCCGAAGAGGUAGUCCCAAUUUAAACUCUUUCUUCUCAGAUGCUUCCAAUCUUUGAGUUUGGUUAGUUCUAAAAAAAUAGUCCUGUUUCAGGUUCCUUUACUAUUUAGAAACUUUCAGAGUAAUAUGCAGAACUCUUUUUGCGAAAAUGGCUUUAGUCCAUUAAUCAUCAUUUCAAUGCAAAAUGCUUGAAAAAGAUCAUAGUAAUGAUGGAAUUGAAAUUUAUCAGAAACAAAAUUUGAAGGGAAUGGAUUCAUCACGGUCAACAAACAUUGCUGGAAUACAAAAUGAAUAAGAAGGGAAUAGGUGCCCCAGAUAUCGCAACGUGAGCUUCUCUGCACUUGUUUCUUGAAGACUCCUUUUUACCCAAUAUGUGUUUAGGGGAUCUAGAGUACUCUUGUAGAUGCCCCAAAAUGUAACAUCUCUCUUCCUUGUUAAUUUUAGGUAUCAUAAGAGCAUCGCAUGCCCCACUUUCGAUCAAAAUUUGAAUCGCCCUUUACGGGUUUUCAAUUCAAAAUCCCUUUGGUCUCAAUGUGCUCUUUGCGAGUUUUCGCCCUGGCCUCUCCUUUUUUUUUAGGCGAAGUAUUUCUUAACCGAAUCUGAAUUCACAGGAUUGGAUAAGGUCUUGCCAUCCAUUUCAGCCAAUAUCAAUGCUCCGCCAGAAAAGGCUUUCUUCACCACAUAAGGCCCUUCCCAAUUCGGCAUCCAUUUUCCUCUGAAGUCUUUUUGUAUGGGCAGGAUCUUUUUUAGUACUAUGUCUCCCUCGUGGAACUCUCUAGGGACGAACCUUUUUGUUGUAAGCUUGCAUCAUCCGCUUUUGGUACAUCUGACCAUGGCGAAUAGCCCGUAGCCUCUUUUCUUCAAUCAAAUUCAGCUGAUCGUAUCGGGACUGGAUCCAUUCUGCUUCAUCCAUCUUUACUUCUGACAAAACUCUGAGGGAAGGAAUCUCGACCUCGAUAGGUAAAACUGCCUCCAUUCCAUAGACUAAUGAGAAAGGCGUUGCCCCAGUAGAAGUUCUGAUAGACGUUCGAUAAGCAUAGAGGGCGAAUGGUAGCUUCUCAUGCCAAUCUUUAUAAGUUUCUGUCAUCUUUCCUACAAUCUUCUUGAUGUUCUUAUUGGCUGCUUCGACUGCUCCGUUCAUCUUCGGGCGAUACGGUGACGAGUUGUGGUGUCUGAUCUUGAACUGACUGCAGACAUCUGCUAUCGCGUUGUUGUUCAAAUUCAAUGUGUGUCAGAUAUGAUCCUUUCCGGCAUUCCAUAUCAACAGAUGAUUUCCUUUUUCAGGAACUUGCUAACUGCUGAUUUAGUGACAUUGGCAUAUGAAGCGGCCUCCACCCAUUUGGUGAAAUAAUCGAUGACCACAAAGAUGAAACGAUGCCCAUUUGAAGCUUUUGGCGAAAUUGGCCCAAUCACAUCCAUGCCCCACAUCGAGAAAGGUCAUGGCGAAGUCAUGACAUCAGAGGUGAGGGAGGUACAUUAAUCUUGUCUCCAUAGAUUUGGCACUUAUGACAUCUUUUGGCGUAGUUAAUACAGUCUCCUUCCAUAGGUGGACCAAUAAUAACCGAACCUCAUAAUUUGCCUGGUCAUUGUAAAACCAUUAGCAUGUGUCCCGCAGACGCCCUCGUGGACUUCUUCCAAGAUUUUCUUAGCCUCAAUAGCGUCUACACAUCUUAAUAGUACCUGAUCUUUCUUUCUUUUGUAUAGGAUCUCCCCAUCUAAGACAUAGUCACUGGCCAGUCUUCUCAACGUUCUCUUGUCGUUCUCAGUAGCUUGGUUGGGGUACUCACAAUUCUUCACAUAUCGUAGGAUAUCGUGGUACCAAGGGCCAUCAUCAUUUUCCUCUUCUUCUUCGAGGUUGUAACAAUGAGCCGGGGCCUCGUAAAUGCUUAUUUGGAUUGGUUUCACAUCCUUUGGUUGGUUCACCUUAAUCAUAGAAGCUAAAGUUGCUAGGGCGUCAGCUAUCUGAUUUUCUUCUCAUGGGAGGUAGUAGAAGACAAUAUUAUCAAACUUUUUAAUUAACUCAAGGAUCAACCUCCGGUAAUUGAUCAAUUUGGGGUCUCUUGUCUCCUAUUCACAUUUGAGUUGAUAAAUCACUAGGGCAGAAUCUCCAUAUACCUCUAACAUCUUGAUUUUACAUUCUAUGGCCGCACGUAUUCCCAUGAUGCAUGCUUCAUAUUCUGCCAUAUUGUUCGUGCGUCAAAAUCCAAUUUACUAGUGAAGGGAUAAUGAUCUCCGUUCGGGGAUACCAGGACUGCCCCGAUUCCAUUGCCCACGGCAUUCGAUGCUUCGUCAAAGUUUAUCUUCCAAGGAUGACCUUCUUGAGGGUCUUCUUCAGUGGUUGCUACGUACAUUAGAUCUUCAUUUGGGAAGUCAAAGUUUAGAGGCUCGUAGUCCUCUAGGGAUCUGCUGGCUAGGAAAUCUGCUAUCGCACUCCCUUUUACGGCCUUCUGGUUCACAUAGACUAUAUCGAAUUCAGAAAGUAAAAUUUGCCAUCGGGCCAUUCUCCCGUUCAAGGCAGUCGACUCCAUCAAGUACUUCAGAGGGUCCAUUUUAGAGAUUAGCCAAGUUGUGUGAUACAACAUGUAUUGUCUCAGUCUUCGGGUUGUCCAGAUCAAGGCACAGCACAACUUUUCAAUGAACGAGUAUCUCGUCUCACACUCAGUAAACUUUUUACUGAGGUAAUAUAUAGCUCUUUCUUUCCUUCUCGAUUCAUCGUGUUGGCCAAGCACGUAUCCCAUAGAAUUUUCAAAUACCGUCAAAUACAGUAUCAGUGGUUUAUCUGGAUUAGGUGGUGUCAACACUGGGGCAUUAGAAAAAUAUUGCUUAACUUUGUUGAAAGUCUUCUAGCAUUCCUCGUCCCAACCACCAGGGUUGUGUUUCUUAAGGAGACGGAAUAUGGGGUCACAUUUCUCGAUUAGUUGUGAAAUAAACCGAGCGAUGUAAUUUAGUCUUCCUAGGAAUCCUCGAACUUCCUUCUGAGUACGUGGUGGAGGUAACUCUUAUAUGGCUUUGACUUUAUCUGGGUCAAUCUCAAUCCCUUUUCCACUGACCACGAAUCCUAGCAGUUUACUUGACCUGGCUCCGAAGGUACAUUUUGCGGGAUUGAGUUUCAACUGGAAUUUUCUCAACCUCAAAAAUAGUUUCCUCAAGACUUGCACAUGCUCUUCUUCAGUCCGAGAUUUGGCGAUCAUGUCGUCGACAUAGACUUCAAUUUCUUUAUGUAUCAUAUCAUGAAAUAGGGUUACCAUGGCUCUCUGAUAUGUUGCUCCCGCAUUUUUCAAUCCGAACGGCAUUACGUUAUAGCAAAAGGUUCCCCACAUGGUCACAAAUAUGGUUUUAUUCAUGUCUUCAGGGAUUGAACCCCAAGAAACCAUCCAUGAAGGAGAAGAGUGAGUAACCUGCCGUGUUGUCCACUAAGGUGUCGAUAUAAGGCAACGGGAAAUUAUCUUUCGGGCUGACUUUGUUUAAGUCUCUGUAGUCUACACAUAUCCGUACCUUUCCAUCUUUUUUAGGGACAGGGGACGAUGUUGGCUACCCAUUCCGAGUACUUAACUACUUGUAAGAAACCAGCAUCAAAUUGCUUCUUGACUUCCUCUUUUAUUUUCAACAGAAUAUAGGGCCGCAUCCUUCGAAGCUUUUGCUGAACUGGCUUGCAUUCUUCUUUGAUGGGGAGCCUGUGUACCACAAGGUCAGUACUUAGCCCAGGCAUAUCCUGAUAUGGCCAUGCAAAGAUAUCCUUGAACUCUUGGAGUAACUCAAUAAGGUCCCGCUUUGUCUCUGUGGUGAUGCAAGCUCCGAUCUUUACUUCUCUCCUUUCUAGUUCAUCUCCCAAGUUCACGACUUCUACGGUCUCUUUGUGGGGUAGAAUCUGUUUCUCCUCAUGUUCCACCAUCCUUAACAAGUCAGGGGAUAAGUUACAGUCUCUGUCAUCUUCAAAGUCCUAAGAUCCUUCUAGACACAUAUCUCGCUCAAAAUGAGACUCUAAAUGAGUAGCAACGUCACUCACAUCAUUGAUAUCUGAAGACCUGUUGUAGGUACGAAGGAAGAUACAAAGAACAAGAGAAUCUAAGAACAAAGAUAUGUAUGGUAUGAUCAUGAAUGAAAAAUAUUUGCAUGGAAUAAGUCGAAAGGAUGCAUUUUAUUGAAAUAACGAUUUCGAACAUAAGCCUAUUUCACAAAAGGACACUUCUUACUCCUAGGCCUAGAGCAAUAAGUGUGUUUUGGACCUUACUCUGAGUUAGUUCUAAAGACUACAGAAAGCUCUUCCGCAGUCCAAUUAUUUAGAACACUUCUCGGCUCAUAGGGGCGAAUGCCUGACAAAUUCUCUACCCCCAUUCCUUCUUCAUAUGUGGCGUUGAUGUCCAAACUUUCCAUCAUUCCUUCCAAGAUUUCCUUUCCUGACGUCUUCCGCUCGGAGUGAAUGACCCCUCCAGACACAAAAGUCUUCGAUAUAUGGGGGAAGAUCAUUGGUUCUCAUUUGAUUUCUCCCCCGCUUAAUCGCGCUCUCCUUCUUUCUUGUUUCUUCUCAAGUUCCUUGUUUCUUUGUUUCAUGUCUGGCUUAAACCCUAACCCAAAACGGUCUUGUUUGUCCUUCAUCAUUGGUAUAUUAAUCCUUCCCUGGAGGUAUCUCCCGAGUCCUCUUCCGGGUAGAGCCCCUUUUUUCAAUAGUUAGCCGUAGUCCCAUUCUUGUAGUCUCAUAUAACCUAGGUAUUGGAAUUUUAUUUCCUUCGGUGAUGAACGUCACGUUCACAAACUCCAAAGAUUGAAAAGAGCACUCGAUCGCCUCAUCAUUUUCCUCGAGAUAUGGGGUGUCACUGGUUAUUGUCGCGAUGAUAUCCUCUUCAACAUUGAUCGUUACUAACCAACCUUCAGUCACUAAUUUCAACUUUUGGUGCAGCGAUGAAGGGACUGCCCCUGCCGAGUGUAUCCAUGGUCUCCCCAAUAGGCAAUUAUACGAAGGCUUAAUGUCCAUGACCAAGAAAUCUACCUCAUACGUGCUCGGCCCGAUUAAGAGGGGUACUUCAAUUCUCCCCAUUACCUUCCUUUCUGUGCCAUCAAAUGCUCUCACUACACUUUGGCAUGUCUUCAUAUGGGAACUAUCCACUGGCAACCUACUCAGCGUAGAUAGGGGUAAGACAUUCAGCGCAGACCCAUUGUCGAUCAAUACCCCCGGUAAUGUGUACCCUUUACAGUGAGUCAUGAUAUGCAAAGCUUUAGUUAAUCCUCGGCCCCCUGGUGGUACCUCAUCGUCAUUGAAAAAUAUGAAGUUGUCGGCACUUAUAUUGUUGACUAAGCGGUCCAGUUUGUUUACAGAGAUAUCAUUAGCAACAUAAGUUUCAUUCAGCACCUUCAUCAAUGCGCUGCGAUGGGUUUCGGAGCUUAAAAGUAAAGCCAGUACCUAUAUACGCGCUAGCUAUUUGUGCAACUGUUCUACCACACUAUAUUCGCUGUGCUUUAGAAAUUUUAAGAAUUCCUUGGCUUCUUUGUCAGUCACUGAUUCAUUAACAGUUGGUUCAGGCCCUGCCGGCUUCUCUUUCUUUUACUCAAUUGCUAAUGAUUUUUCUUUAACCUGGUCGACUUUUGUAUUUGGGGUAUAACGCCUUCCUGCUGCGUGUAUAAAAACCUUCGUCUUGAACUUCCUCUGAUGUAUUAAUCGGGGUCUCCUCUCCCGAGAAUGUCACAUUGCAGCUAUAGUUCCACGGUACCCUUUUGCUAUCUUUAUAAGGAAAAGCAACGGGCUUUUGGAUCACGACCUUUGGCGCAACUAGUGCCCCGGCUUCAUUCAUUCUCGGAUGUGAUAUGAUAACCACUGGGUGGUUGACUUUGUAAACAUCCUUCGUCGACCCCUCUUCGGAGGCACACACAUCCGCUUCUUCCAGGCUCCCAACAUAUUCGAAGAAUUCCAGCUCCUUAUUAUCCAUCAAUCCUUGUACUAAAGCCCUGAAUUGGCUGCAUUUCUGAAUCUCAUGAUCCUCUUGAUCGUGGAACUCACAAUAAUUCUUCACUUCUCGAGGUUUGACCCUUGAAUUCUGUGCUAUCAACCCUUUUUCCACCAUUUUCUUCCAUACUUCUUUUAGUGGAGUAUCUACUUCUGCAACAUUCAUCUUAAUUUUCUUCCCUGAACCCUUAUCCCCAGUGAUUAGGUAAUGGGUUUUCUGCACUAGGUGUAUCAUCAAAUUUCACAAUCCCCAUGUUGAUGAGUCCUUCAACCAAUUUCUUAAAAGUGGUGCAGUUUUCUAUCGAGUGUCCUGUGGCUCCCGCAUGGUAUUCGUAUUGGGCAUUUGCGUCAUACCAUUUGGGGUAUGGAGGUUGCAUUGGCUUUAGAUAGAAGGGAGACACGACAUGUGCAUCAAAUAAACUCUGGUAUAACUCCUUGUACGUCAUUGGAAUGGGCGUAAAUUGAAGUUUCUCCCUAUUUUGUUUUGCGUUGGGCUCUUGUCUGGGUGGGCCCUGCUGUCUAGUAGUUGUCGACCUUGGUUGGCUUACGGUGAUUGAUUUCAAAUAUGAGCUGACAUUAUUCACCUCGUGCUCUUUCUUUCUUAGUGCUGACCUCUUAGCGUUUUCCCCAGCCUAUAUUUUCCCACAUCUUAUGGCAAUUUCUAUCAUUUCUCCAGACAUUACUAUGUCUGAAAAACUCUUGGUUGUGCUACCCAGCAUGUGGUUAAUAAAAGGUGCCUUCAGGGUAUUGAUGAAGAGCAUAAUGGUUUCUUUUUCCAACAGAGGGGGUUGGACCUGUGUGGCCACUUCUCUCCAUCGCUGGGCGUACUGCCUAAAGCUCUCAUUAUGCUUUUUCUCCAUAUUCUGUAAAGUGAUUCUAUCAGGGGCUAUGUCCGCCACAUGACCGUACUACUUCAUGAAGGCUUGUGCUAAAUCUUUCCAUGACUGAUCUGGGUGCGACUCAGUUGGUUGUACCAUCUAGAAGCGGCCCCAACUAGACUUUCUUGGAAGCAGUGAAUUAAUAGUUGGUCAUUGUUGAGAUGGCCUGCCAUUUGUCUGCAGAACAUAGUGAUGUGAGCUUCGGGACAGCUAGUCACAUUGUAUUUCUCAAAUUCUGGAGUUUUAAACUUGGAAGGGAGUACCAGGUCCAGAACCAAACUUAAUUCCUUAACAUCGAUUCCACCAUGAUAGUCGGUGCUUUCCAUUUCUUUAAAAUUUUUUUCCAACCAUCUACACCUUUCUUCAAGCUCUCUUGGGAGUUCUACCCUUGUCUUUUCUACUUCUGUUACUUCAUCAAGAUUGAGGACCACAGGAUUAGUUGGGUUGUCCUCCGGAUUAGAGCCCGAGCCAGCCUGAUAAUUCAUCGGUGCUGAAACACUGGCCUGAAAUAGUUGGGGCCUAAUUGUGACCGAUGGCCUUCUUGGGUACAUGUCAGGUUGUGUCUGAACGUCUGCUGGGGCAAAACCCGGAGGGUAGGUAGAAUCUUCAUUAUCUUCUCCCGCAUUGAUCAAAGGGCUUUUCCCUUUUUCUAAUCCGCCAGCCAAUAGACGAGUUAAUUGGUCCAUCAUGCUUUUCUGGGACUCCAACAUAUGGUCCCUCAUAUCUUGCUGUAUCUUAGCCAGUUGCUCUUGCAUCUGCGCUUGUAAUUGUUCUUGCAUCUCCCUUUGCAUUUGUUCUAUCCUUUUUAAUCUCUGGUUUAUUACUUUGGUUUUACGGUGGGUAUAAGUGGCUGUGUUCGGUUGCUUGAUUCUCGUUGGUUUCCAGAUUAACUGAAAUAAUUUUGUUUAAUCAGGGUUUUUUAGUGAAAGUUUAAUGCAAAUGUUUCAAUGUAAUGCAAAUGUAUGGAAUGAAUGCAAAAGAAAGGAAGAUGUUGAUCUUGAAUUCAAUUCUAUUAGAAUAACUUUUCUAGAAAACAUAUUUCUUUACAUGAAAAUAGAUUACAUAUGCAGUAGUUGCCCUUCAUAGUCCAAGUAAACGCUGAUCUUUUCUUCAUGGUCGAAUCCUGUAAAUUCUCUAAAAGAUGCCUUUAUGCUGCUUAAUCUGAGCCUCGAUCUCUUGCUCGCUUAUCUCCAUGAUACUCAUCAAAAGUGUCCGGCUCUUGAAUAAUCUUCGUUGGCAAUUAAAUCAAGUCAUGUAUUCCUUCGUGGACUUCUGGCUUUCUCUCGUCAUGCCUUUGUUGGCUUGAAUCUCUGGCAAUUACAUCAUGUAUUCCUCCGUGAACUACUAGCUUUCUCUCAUCGUGUUUACUUGGACUAUAUUCAGGCGAUCGCACUAUAAUCUACUUUAUCAAGAAAUUCGUUUCCUUAUGAAAAACUAUUCUAUUUAGGAAUUAAAUUUCGAAUCAAUACAUUCUUUUCUUUGAUGUAAUGUAAUGCAAAUACAUGAACGCAAAAAAAAGGAAGGCAUUGAUUCUAAAUUUAAUUUCAUUAGAACAACUUUUCUAGAAAGUAAAUUCUUUUACAUAAAACGGACUACAUAUACGGCUUUUCUCUUGUAUUCCAAGUGAAGACACCUAUCUUCCUCUUCAUAUCCGGAUCUUGUGGUCGAGUCUGACUAAUUCUCCAAGAGAUGUCUAUAUUAACUCCUUUUUUGCUCGAUCCAGGCUGCGACUCGUUGCUCACUUAUUACUGUGAUACUUGUCAGCUCCUUUAAGAAGGUCAAGAUGUGACGGCUCUCGAAUAAUCUUUGUCAGUUUCUGUCUUCAGGCAAUGAAGCGAAGUCUUGUAUUUCUUCACGGGCUAUCAGUCUUCUUUCAUGUGUUCACUUGGAUCAUAUUUAGACAACCGUAUUAUAAUUCCACUUUAUCAAAAAAUUCGUUUUCUUAUGACAAACUGUUCUAUUUAGCAAUCAAAUAUGAAUCAACACCUCCUUCCUAGGAUGAUGUAAUGUAAUGCAAUUAUAAACAAAACAAAAAUAAAACACGUUAGUGCAGGAUAAAUAAAUAACAAAUAAAGCAAUUCGGGUGACCAUUAGGGGUUCGGAGUGGCUCUACCUAGGGUGGGCUCCUAGGUCUCUCUAUAUGUGGUUUGGUUCUAGAGUAAGGGUACCUGAACCAGCAGAUUCCUCGAUCCUCACCCAUUAUAGGCUCAUUUGAGUCGAGUUCAAUUCAAGAGAAUACAUUUCCUUAUGGCUACACGGAGAUGAAAAUCUCACGAAACCAUAGGUACGGAUGUAUUCCGAAAGUGAUCCACUAUCCUGCACGGAGGUGAAAACCUCACGAAGGCGUAGUUUCUCACUCCCACUUAAGGGUGUGACCACAACGGUCAUGCAAUGCAAUGCAAGAAGAUAUAUGCAUAAAAACUUGAAAUGAUUAAAGAAAAUAGGAAUAAAAUUAUGAAAACAGUACGAAAAACGGGUGAAACGCAAUGAAGAGAUCGUAUAUCAAAACCAAAUUCUCAAUUUUCGAAAAAAGACAAAAGUUAAUCAACUUGUGGCUUGACUCUCUUAUAAAACUCCCCAGUGGAGUCGCCGAGCUGUCGUAACCAUUCUUUUGAAAAAACGGGUAUAGACUUGGAGAAAAAAAAAUGAAAACAGGAGUCGCCACCAAUCUUUUUAGGUGUGAUCGGAUCACCUUAAGUUAAUCAUUUUAAUAAAAGUUAAGAUUUACUAAAACGAUAAUUUUUGGUCUACGAAAAUCAGAAAAUGAGUUCGGGAGUCAGGUUACGCACGAGGAAGGAUUAGCACCCUCGAUACGCCCAAAAUUGGUACCUAGUUGAUUAAUUAGUGUCUUAGUGUCGAAAAUUUGAAAACUUGAAAGAAUUUAAAAUACGAUCCCUCUUUGUAAAGAAAAUGCUCAAAUGUUAAGGACCUUCUCGUCUCACAAUAUAAAAUGUCACAUCUAGUAAGUUAGGACACGACAUCUUGAAUUUUCGAGAGCGAGCUUGCCUUUUAUAUAAAAUUUCGUGUAUUUCAAAAGGUUAUUCAGUUAGUUAAGGUGAACGAGGAAAAUCGAAACCCAGUAAGUUAGGGCACGUUUCCUCGAAUUCCCAAACACCAAAUAUUGCCUUUACUUGCAAAAAUCUUAUUUCGAGGUAACAAAAUGCCAUACCCAGUAAUUUAGGACACAACACCUCGUAUCUCCGAGAAUAAGCAUUUUUCAAAACUCAUGUCGCGAUUUAAAAGAGUAUUCCGUUAUUUAGGUUAAAGGAGAAAAAUUGAAACCCAGUAAGUUAGGGCACGAUUGUCUCGAAUUACCAAAUACGGAAUGUUACUUUUAUGAAAGAAUUAUUAUUGGGUUGGAUAUAAUGAUAAUAAGAAUAAUAUUAAAGUAAAGUAACUAAUAAUACUAUAUAUAAAUAUAUAUAUAUAUAUGUAUAAUAGAAAUACACACUACUAUAUAAUAAUAAUAAUAAUAAAUACAGAAAUACAAAAAGCAAAUAUAAUAAAAAUAUUAAAUUAAAGUAAUAAAAAAACAAUACUAUAUAUAAAUAUAUAUAUACAUAAAAAUAUACACUAAUAUAUAAUAAUAAUAGUAAUAGCAAAAAUAAUGAAAAUAUGAGUAAUAUUAAUAAUAUAUUAGAAUACAAAAGUAAAGUAAUAACAAUAGGGGUGAUAAUAAUAAUAAUAAUAAUAAUACAAACAAUAAUACAUAUAUAUAUAUAAAAAUAGUAGUCAGAAAUAAAAAAUAAUAGAAGUAACAAUAAUGAUAGUAAUAAUAUAAAUAAAUAUGGAGAGGGCAUAUAUAAUAAAAUAAUAUAAAUAAUAAUAUACACAUGAGAAAUAAUAAUAAUAUAAAUAAUAGUAAAAAUAAUAAAAUAAAAAAUAAAACAAAGCUCUCAACUCUCUUUCUCCCUCUUUUCUAAAUUCGGCCGUUGGUCCGGUUUUGCUUCAGUCAUGGACCCCCACGGGCCGCCAUCGGCGUCACCGUACACGGCGGCCGGACCUCAAAAAAAACUUUUUCGGUAAUGAAAAUAUGGGUAAGCUUCUUACUUUUAUUUUUACUUUCGUAUAAAAAAACAAAAUAAAAUUGAAAGGAAAACAAUAAACAAACAAAGAACUUAAGAUGAGAAUAGAUAAAAGAAACCUCUUUUGCUUUGAUCUUUGAUUAAUCUCAAAAAACUAGCAUUUCCAAAAAACAAAAAACAACCCCCUUCUAACAUAGUCUUGAAUGGCUUUUAUAGCCAAAUUUUUACAAAUAAAUUUUUUGUAAGCAAGUGGAGUGGUUGGGGUGGUUUAGGUGGCCAAGGUGGGUGGCCAACAAGGGUGGUGGAGUAGGUGGCCAAGGUGGGUGGCCAAGGUGGGUGGCCAACAAGGGUGGUGAAGUAGGUGGGAUUAGGGUUUUCUUUUUCUGAUUUUUUUUUGGGUUGGGUUAGUGUUUUAGGCUAAGUUUUGGGCUAAGGGUUUUGGGUUUGUAUUGGAUUUUAAUUGGAUAGUUGGGUUAUGUUUAUUUGAGCCCAAAAUUGGGCUUGUACAAUCAAAAUAUAUAAGAAUGUAAAAGAGCAAUAGGUAACUUACCUAUUCAUUUAAUAUCCUUUUAACAAUUAGCUUUUUGGUCAACUCAAUAGAUCUCCCUUCUCAACUUAGUUGCUGGAGAUACCGGACAAACUUGUCAAAAAAGUAAAUGAGACAUGUCAACCCAUGUGUUAACCGAAGUAGGAGGUAAAUAUUAGCUUAUUUAAUUAAUCCUUGUUGGUUGCUUUUAAAAAAUGGAUUUUAAUAAAGGACAAUUAUCUAUAUUUUGAAUCACCUAUUCAUAUCCUUGCACAAUUAAAACACACAAGUCUAAUAUUUGUUUUAAACAAAGAAGGUGAGAUGACAAUAAUAUCCUCCUAACUACGAGGCUUUUGUUGAUAUUCAUGUCUAAAUUUUAAGUAAGAUGACUAGUUGAAAUAAAAAUUGUUGGCCAAAUAUACAUGAUGACAAUAAUAUCCCCUAACUAUGGAGCUUUUGUCUUCAAUGUAAUGAUAGACCUACUCAUUAUAUUUUAACUUUUCGUAAUAAAGACUAGAAAUAUUAUUAUUCCUUUGAAAUAUUUUUAGUAUUCUUAUUUGCUAGAGCUAAAAGUUGAAGUGUUCUUUUUUAAAAAGCAUGUUAAUUAAAUCCUUGUUGGCGUAAGGGCCUAAAAGGCAAUUUGUCCAGUUUAGCCAAGGUCCAUGCCUACUUACAACGAUAGAUGACAUUAAUAUCCUGUCCUAAUCAUUUAAUAUCCUCUUAACAAGGAGGCUUUUCGAGUUUUAUUUUAUUAAAACUAAAUAAUAUGACUUUGACUUUAAAGUAUAUUAAAAAAAUGGUAAAACUAAGUCUGGGCCAUAUUUGAUAUUUACACAUAUAAAAUAAAAUGACUUUGUUAUCAUAUUUAAAUUUAAAAGUCUUACUUGUAAAGCUAGAAGGUUGUGUAUAAAUAUGUGUAUGGAGGUAGAUAUGAAGCAGCUUAUAUAGAAGGAGAGUGAAAUAAAAAAGGAGUUAAAAAUGGCUUGUCCUCCGACUUAUAAAGUGGUAAAAGGUGAGCUUAAGAAUGUUUCUGAUGACUGCCAAGCGAGCUUGAAUUAUUCGAGUUACCAAGGUGCUCCGGUAACGAUUAAAAAAGAUUCAUUACCCACUCCAUUUGCGCAGAAUAUGUUAGUCGACGGUUUGUACGGAGGCCUGGUGUAUGAUGUUGGUAGGGUUAAGUGGAUUAUUCUUUGGACCAUUGAUUGUAAGGUAUUAAUUAAUUAAUAUGUUCUUUUUUCUUUUCAUUUAUUUUGAUUUUGUAGCAUAAGAAAUUAAUUAAUUAAACUAUAUAUCAGGUGGCUACUAAGAUCCUUAAACCCGAAGACCCUAUUAUUUGGGAGGAUAUAGUGCGCAUCCUUCAGCCCUACGAUAGCACUGACUACUUGCCCUUAUCACCUGGGAAUGUAUUUUCCGCAGAAGCUCAUAUCCAUGCAAAUGAAGAUGGAUCUCUAAGCCUGAAAGCACAAAUCAUGUGGAACUAUUGCAUUUAACCUACUUUUUUUUUGCAUCAUAUAUUGCUCCAUGCUUACCUCUAUCAAUUUAUGCUGUGUGACCCACGGAGGCUGUCUACUUCUUUAUAUUAAUAAUACUAUUAAAUAAAUUUGACAGCCACCCCAUAAUAUACUACUGGAUUCCUACUUCUUCGACCUUACCUAUCCAACAAGGUGACCCCGUGGAGGCUGUCCCAGGCCGUGUGAACCCUCAAAUUUACCUAAAAUCAAGCCACUUCAAGUCUAUUUCAUGCAUAACUAACCAUUCCAUUUGGGUACACAAUUAAGGGAUUUAAACAUCAUUCAAACAUACAUAAACAUGUCAUUUCAAACAUCCUAAUUCAUCUAACCAAUAUGCCACUCAAAGGCACCUCAACUGUAUCAAAACAUUAUGGAUUAGACCAAAGCAAAAUUGACCAUAUCAUAAGCAUCUAACCUAAUUCAAACACCUACCAAAACACAUCACAGUGACCAUUUUCAGUCCAUCACAAACAUGCCAAAAGACCAUACAUUUCAAUUACCAAAAGGCGGUCAAGAAGACCUAACUUAACAAGCAUUAUAAGCCCAUCAACCAAACAUAAACUUCAAUGGCACAAACAUACCAAAACUUACGUUCACAAAAUACCAUCACAAAACAACCUAUACAUGUCAUUAUUAACCUUGGCCAAAAUUACUCAAAAACUACCGAAUUGACUGCUGGAUAGGGUGAUAGGUCUCCGACGAGCUUCCGAUAAUCUAUAAAAAAAGGAAAGUAAAUACAUAAGCAACGAGUGCUUAGUAAGCUCGUAUAAACUUAAACUUAACUUACCAUUUCAUUUAUACAAUUCAUAGAUUAGUCAUAAAUCAUUACCAAUACCAUAAGUUUGGCUUAAGCCUAUACAACAUCAUCAAUUUCACAAGUUAGUACACUUGUUCAUCAUACAAAUGAGUUCAACCAGAAGAUAAGUAAAUUUCCUUAUAUAAACACAUCAUUUAACUCAUCAAUGUUGCCAUAAGAUCAUGAUUCAUUCCAUUUGCAUACUUACCAUUUCACUUCAUUUUCUUACCCAUUGAACCAUCUAGAAUUACAGUGGAUACUCGAGAAAGCUCACACAUAGUGUGCCUUUACAUAUAAUCCUAACAUUUCAUUUACAUCCAUGCUCACACGAGCUGUGAAAUAGGCCUGCUCACACGAGCUAUGGGUCGGAAUGUAAGCUACACGAUGCUGCUCACACGAGCUGUGGAGAAUCCACAACAAAUGCAGGACCUCAGCCAUCAGUAGGGCAUUCAAGACCAACAACCGAAACAUGAAAUCCCUAAUGACAUGUCAUUUGUAUCCUAAGAAUUCUUAAGAUUCAACCGGGACUCGUUAUCCGUCAAUUCAUCAUAGCAUUGAUUCAUUUAUAUUCAAAUUCAAUUAUAUUAAAACAACAUAGUAAAUAGUUAAUUUGGCUAACUUUAAAAGGAUUGUAGUUCAUACAAACUUACCUCGGUACUAAAGUCGUAGAAGUAAAGUCGAGCUAAUUCAAAGCUUUGGCUUUUCCUCGAUUUUAAGUCUAAUUGUGGUUUAUCUUGACCUAAAUAAAUAAUUUCAUUCUAUUAAGUACUUCUAGAAUUCAAUUUAAUCAAUAAUUCAUAUUUAUACAAAAUUAAAAAUUUCCCCUUAACAUUUUAACUUUUCACAAUUUAGUCCUUAAGCUCUUAAUUUAAGAUCUAACCAUUUUAACCUAAAUCCAACUUAACCAAUGUUACAAGGGACCUUUAAAAAACCCAUUAUUAUUUACAAUUCACAAUAAAACCCAUGAAUUUAUACUUUUAAUAAUUUAGUCCCUAAUUACAAAAUUCAACAAAAAUCACUUAACAAAACAUGUUUAUUUUACAACAAAGAUUAAUAAUCUAUCAACUAACAUAAAAAAAUACAAAAGCAUCCAUGGCAAGUCCCUUAACCUUUAAAGAUUUUGCAAAUUAACCCCCGGGCUAACUAGAUUAAGCUAAAACGAACUAAAAAACAUAAAAAAAUAUAUUAAAAACGAGAGACAAAAUCAUACCAUGCAAGGGAAACAAGCAUUUUCUGAAAUCUCCUCUUCCUUUAAUGGCUAACGUCACUUUUAGAAAGAAGAGUGUGGAAGAUGAUACUUUCCUUUAGGUUAUCUUUAUCAUUUAUUUAUUAAAUUACUAAAUUAACCUUUAAAAAUCAUUUAAACUACCAUAAAACCUAUCCAUCACAAUCCACUAUCUUAGUAUAUAUUUUAAUUUCCAUCUAAGUCCAUUUGAUUAAGAUUUCACAUCAAUCUUGUAACGCCCCAAUUUUCGGGAAUCCUGUGAAUGUUGGCAUAGGUUUAAUUAUGUUAGUGGGCCUCUAGAAAGCCCAAACUUAAGAUAGAACCCAACAAUUUUAGUUAAUUUUUUUCCAUAAGAAAAAGGGGGUGAAAUUAUGAAAUAGAACCUAUGUGAAAAUGUUUGAAAAUGCUAUAGGCUAAAUUGAAGUGGCCAAAUAAAUAGGAGUGCAAAAUAGGAGGAUUUGCAUGACAAACCUCCCAUUUUACAUGAAGUGGCCAGCCAUCAUCUUGUUGUAGACAAAAUAUACACUUGAUAUCCAUAAUUUAUGGUACAAAUUGAUACAAAUUGAUAAAAGGUUAGGUAAAUGUUCCAUGAUAAUAGGUUAGGUAAAUGUUCCAUGAUAAUGGGUUAGGUAAAUGUUUCAUGAUAAUGGGUUAGGUAAAUGUUUCAUGAUAAGAAUUUCAUGUCUUUUGUAUUAAAGAAUUAAAUGGAUGAAAUAUGAAGUUUUAUUAAAAGAAAAAGGGGUGAAAAGAAUAAAGUUUUGUCCAUCUUUGUUCAUCAUAGCUGAAAGUUAGAGAAGAGAAAGGAGAGGAGAAAGCUCUUGAGUAUUCGGUCAUUAGGAGGAGGAAAAUUGAAGGUAAGUUCUUGGUACCUUGCUUCUAUUUUGAGGUUCAUGAGUUCUUCUUGAUUCUACCUUAACUCUUGAAGUAUAUUUUGAUUUUUAGUUGUGUUGUGAGCAUUUAGUCAUGAAUUAAAAUGAAGGAAAUGGUUGUUGUUUCAUGUUCUUUUGAUGAAAAAUGGAAGAUAGGUGAAGUUGAGCCAAACAAAUGAACAUGCAUGUGCCUUAGAUGCUAAAGGGAAAAAUCGGCUAACAUGUUGUGCUUUAAAAUGAUGAAAUGGAGAUUAUACUUAAGUAAAAUCAUAGAUAUGUGAUGAUUGAUUGGUGAUAUAUAUGUUUAAAUAACAUGCAUGCAAGGUAUGUGUGAAAGAGUGAUUUGGUAAUAAAUCUGCUUGGGACAGCAGCAGUAACGUGACUUUGGAAAAUCACCAUAAAUUGUGGGAGAUGAAUUAGAAGCUGAAUAAAUUAUGUAAUUAAAGCUUAUUGAGUCUAGUUUCUAAUGAAAUAAACAAGAACAUAUUUUGAAUUCUGUACAAUGAGAAAUUUGAUUCGUAAUGAAGAGUGGUCAGAUUAGUCAAACAGUGAAACAUGGGAAACUUUGAGAAAAAUCUGGUAUUGAUUGACUAAACCAAAAAUUCUGAAAAUUUUAUGGAUAGAAGAUAUAUGAGUCUAUUUUCAGGGAAAAUUAACGACACAUGAUUUGGAGUUUCAGUAGCUCCAGUUAUAAAUGAUUUAGUGACUGUUGCUCAGGAAGACAGCUUGCAGUGAAAUUAUGAUUAUGUGGUAAACAUUGACAAAAAUUUGUUAAUGAGUUGCUUAUUGAUUUCUUAUAAGCUUACUAUGAUCUAUAGGUGUGGUUGGCCGAAUAUUGUAAGGGGUUAAUACGUAGUUCGUAUUUGAAUAGUUAGAUUAACGUGUUAGUAAUCCAAUUGUAGGACGGUUCGUGUGUGGAUCUCGUCAGCAUAUCGUCGCAAACAGGUGUGUAACUGACACCCUCUCAUAGACUAGAUUGGCAAAAGCCGAAAAGCCGAAAUGCCGAAAAGUCGGUAUUUUGGGAAUUUACGAGUGUACGAAUGCUCGUAAGAUAGUUGGGUUUGUAUAUUUGGUAAUCUAAAGUAAUAAAAUGCAGUACGCGCGAUUUCGUACAUUUUGAUAAUUUGGGCUUAAUGGGCCAAAGAUCGGGUUCAUGGGCCAACGGGCCCUAAUUCGGUAAGUAUGCGCGGUAAGUGUUCUGAUAGUACGUAAAUAGUUAGGAUAUGCAUGAAAACCCUAAAAGUAGCUAAAUUACUAUAAUACCCCUAUGUAUGGAAAAUUACUGUUAUACCCCUAGGUGCAAAAUUACCGUUAUACCCCUAGGGUUAAUUUUGACUGAAAAGCAUGACGAUCUGAUUCUGUAUGAUGUAUGCCAUGAUUAUAUAUCUGUUGCAUGGGGACAUGGGUUAUAUUAUGGAGGAAGCAUUCUGGUGGCUAUGCCACAAAUAUCUGAUCUGGUGGCUCUGCCACAUAUAUCUGUUCUGGUGGCUCUGCCACGAUUAUCUGUAUCUGGUGACUCUGUCACAUUAUCUGUUCUGGCAGCCAUGCUGCAAAUUCUGUGGUGUGUAGCGGUUGGGUGGGUCGAGUUGUCUCCCCACACUGGUGUAAGGUUGGUACGAGGGUGUAUACGGUUGGAUAUGGUUGGGUUUCUGCAUAAACAUGUAAUAUCUGUUCUGUUUUGUUCUGUUAUGGGCUUAUGGGCUUUAUUCUGAAUUUCUGUUCUGGGCUAAGGCCAACUUAUUCUAUUUCUGUGGUUUAAGCUGAUAUAGGCUAUGGUUGGGUUAAUUUACACACUGAGUUUCCCCAAACUCACCCCUUUUAUUUUCAUCCACGCAGGAAAUCCCCAACCAUAGUGGGCUUGGAGCUGUGAGGGAAUUCGGAGUGGCCACCCGUUCUGAAAGUUUGAUUUUCUUCUGGUGAACUGGACAUCCUUUUAUUUACGUUUGAAGUUUUGGGUUUUUAAAUGUAAUAAGGUCGCUUAAUUAUUUUUGAUGGUUUUAAUAUGUAUUACUAAGAUAGGUAUUACUUAUUUUAACUGUUGAAAUUGGAUAGCUUUAGGGCGAGUUUUCAAAAACAACAAUUGAUUUCAAAAUAACACGACAACAAGCAAAGCUUCCGCAAUGAAAGUAUUUUCCAAAAUUAAUCACUUUUCCUAAAAAUGACUUAAUCGAAUCGGUUUCCUAGAAAUAUCCAUGACGUUAAGGUGUGGCAAUGGCGGUAUGCAUGUCUAGGAUUGGAUCCGAAGGGAGCUUGGUACUUAAGCAGUCCGAUGGACUCACCACCUCUUUUCCGGUUUCCUACCUGGUGCACAGCUUCCAUUCACUUUAACCCUUAAUGAAUUAAUCUUUUGAACAUCAAGUAAGAUUUUCUGGACUUAGAAUGGAAAAAUUUUUUAACGUUUUUGAUGUGGCAUGCCGGAUCCGGCCAUAACUCCUGGGCCGGGUUUGGGGUGCUACAAAUCUGAUCCUUUUAAAUAAUAAAACUCAAGUUUUACACCUUUUAUAAUUUAGUCCUUUUUACCUAAUUAACCUCUUAAACCUCAAAAAUUUUAACAAAAUUUUAAUAUGACAUUAAUGUAAUCUUGUAGUCAUUAAAAUAAUAAUAAAAUAAAAACUCACUCGUUAGAAUUGUGGUUCCAAAACCACUAUUUUCAACACCACUAAAAAUAGGUUGUUACAUGAAGAGUACAAGAACUUUGAGUAUAUUAUAAUAUUUACAUUGGUACACUACAUUUUAAUCAAAAAAAUAAAUAAUUAACCCAAUUCGAAGUGUUGGUCAAACCAUACUAAUUUUUUUUUUCAUUUGUAUCCAUACUAUUUUUAAUUAGCUUUCACCCAAUAUGUUUUUAAAAAUUUCGGGACACUACUCUUGUACGUGAAUACCCGCCAAACUUGAAAUUUCUUUUUUUAAAAAAAGAAGUACAGUUAUCUCAAAAGUUUUGACUCAUAUCGUUCCAUACCCAGAUAGUACGACCGAGUUGGGCGUGGUAUAUUACAUGUCACCCACCUACACUCCUAAUCGAAACUCUCCAACUUGUUCUUCAGUAAAGUAAUUUGACGUCAAAUUAAUUGUACAAACUAUGUAUCAUUUCUAACACCGUUCAAGGGAUCCCUCUUUAAGUCACACUAAAAGCAAUACAAUGUGAUGAUCCUACCUAUCUCUGAAAUGGAGAAAAGGUGAACACUAUAACACCCUACACUCGGCCUAGAACUUAUGACCGGAGUGUGAAGGGGACAAUGAUAAAUUUAAAAAUUUAGCCACUUGAUCCCGUAACUCAUCUUAUAUUGGAAAACGAAGAUUCUAAAAAUGAAUGGUCAGGAAAUAAAAUGUUUAGCUAGACCUUUUGUGUAUUCUUUAGAUAAUCUCAUACUCGAAACAAUUAUUUUAUGUCAAAAUCACUCAAACAUUUUCUUAGUUUAGCAGCGAAAAAUUGCCAGAUUUUAGUUUCUAAAAUCGAAUACCAAUUUGUAAGUUUGAGUGAUUUUGUAGUUUUAAGUUAAAAAUACCAAAAACUGGCGAACAGAAAAAAAACCCAAAACAAAGUCCAAAAAAUACUUUACUGUCUAACAUAGUUAAAAACGUAAAACCAUCUUAAUUAAUUUUUUGAAAAUCCAAUCCAAGCUCCCUCGCGUCGACAAAUUCUAGGAUUGAUGAAUACCUAAAAGGGUAAAACAAAAGAGUGAGCUAUAAAGCUUAGUGUGUAACUAAACUGAAACAAAGAACAUAAAGAACACAAUAAACAAAUCAAAGUAUUCCAGAGAGCUUCAUAACGAACAAUUCAGUAAAACUGAGAAUGCGUGUGCUGUAAUUUUCAGAAAAACAUGCACAUAUUUUUUAGAAAAUUUCUUACCCAACUCUAUUACACACCAAAUUAGAGUUCCUAUAACUCAUCCAUCCAAAAGCACACCAUGUAACUUCCCAAAUAUUGGUGUAUUUUAUUUAUUAAAUUUUUCAAUAAGUAGGUAUCUGCUUUGGGGAUUAAGGGUUUUGGUUGUGUGUUUGAGGUCAUGGGUUCAAACCUCACUCCUGGAAAAUUUUGCUAUUUUUGUCCCUAUUCCUAUCUUGGUCGUUAUGAAUUAAAUACCAUUUUCACUAAUUUAUAAUAGAAUCAGCCUAUUGGUUUAGCGGUAAGACUUUUGCUUACCUCUUGGUUUUGAGUUCAAAUCCCAUCCUAUGUGAGUAAGUAGGAUUAUUUUUGCUAGUCUUUCCUUUGGUAAGAUCUCAAGUUGUUGCUUUCUUUUCUUGAUCUUUGUUGUCCCCAAUUUUCUUUUAUUCUUUCAAUCAAGUUCAGUAGUAAGUGUUGAUUGAAUAGAUUGUAAAUUGAUUCAAGUGUAAUUAUCGUUUUUCUCUUUUUCAUUAUGGAAAUCUUCUUUCGUUGGUUAUAGCCUCGUUGGUGUGUCUUAUCGUUGUUAAUUGUUCGCUAGGUUUAGGGGAAACUCAAGAAACGAAUAAUCCUUCAGUGACUCAAGAUUUUGGAGGUGUUGAUGAUUAGAAGGUAAGGGAUUUUUGCAAAUUUGGAACUAUUGUGGCUGUUUGGAGUAAUUGGUGGGGACAAGAUUGGUAUUUUUAGGAAAAUUGUGGAGCAUAUCCUCUGAAAUGGAUCCGUUAUUGUUGGCUAAUCCGUUAAGUGUAUGCUGUUUUUAGGUGUUGGUAUACUCGUUUUUGUAACCCAUGUUAGAAAACAUCCAUGUGCGUAACAAAAAUCCGAGAAAACAACGAAUGAAAAAAUUUGUAUCUGUCAUGAUAAACAUAUGUCAUAUACAUUUUUAUAUCUAUAUUUCUACAUGAGCAUUGUAUGGGAUAUAUGUUUGCAGAGGAAGUGUAGGAAGUUUAUUCUAUUUGACGUAUUUGGUGGCUCAGCCACACAUAUAUUUUUGUUACCGGGGAAUUAAUGCCUUAUGAUCUGGCAGCUAAACUGCAAAUGUUCUGAAAAAGCGGCAUACAGUCUCUAAGUGGUGUGUAGGGUUGGGUAGGUACAUAUACCCUAUAUGGUGUGUCGGGAUGGUCAGAGAUGAUGUGUAGCGGAUGGAGGUAGGAUUGUGUUUCUGUAUUUGAUAUGUUCAAUUUCUGCUUUGUUAUGAAAUAUAUGUUUGAAUGAUUUCUGAAAACAUGUUUUAAAUUAAAUUUGUGAUUCUGUUAUUAUGAGUUACACACUGAGCUCGAAGGCUCACCUAACCUUCAAAUUUAGGACGAGUCGAUGUGGCAGGAGCUCGAUAAAUGUUUUUAUUUAGUAUUAAUUAAAAAUCUAGUUCCUUCUCUUUCGAUAAUUUUGGGACUAUUCUUUUUUAAACUUUGAAUUUUAACUUGUUUCAUUUCCCGUUUUAAAUUAUUUUGAUGUAUUUCUUAUGAUAUUCAUUGUAUAUCCAAAACCAAGGUUUCCAAUAACAAAUCACAUUUUACAAAAUCGAACUAGAUUAAAAUUUCGUUGCAAACUUAAAUGUUUUAAAAGUAUAAAUAAUCAAAGGUUUCAUCAAAUUGAUUAAGAUGAGUUCUUUAAAUAACUGGAUUUUUACUUAGCGAAAGCUAGCGUCACGUUUAUAUGUGUUCAACGAUUAUUGGAUUUUCAAGUGAGCCGUAGUCACCCCUCCAGAUCUGGCCAUAACAUCUAGGUCAGGUUUCGGAUUUUAGGUACCAACAGAUAAUUGUGAACAAUGCCACCAGAAUUGCAGUCAAACUAUCAGGUUAGAAAUAUGUGGUCAAACCAUUAUAAUUGCUGUCAAGCUGGCAGAACAGAAAUGUGGUUAACCCACCAGAUAGUGCAAAUCAUUAAACUAACAGAUAUUUCCGCUUACCAUACUAUCCGAACCCCGUGAAAUGUGACAUGGAAUACAAAUACAGAAUCUGAAUAAAAAGCAUGUAAGACAUGCAGUUGUACAAUAACAAAAAUCAGAAGGCAUGGAAUUCCACGCUUUGUAGAACAGGUGUGUCACAAACUCAACAAAAACAAAUCGGUUUCGCCGUAAAGUCACAUGCAUGGACAUAUAACAUAUUCAUAGAUACAUUAAUUUACAUAAUCAGACAACAUAUACUCGUAUACGAACAUCAUGUUAAGUGUAUCAGUAAAAUCUAGUUGCAAAGUUAAAACUUAAAUGAAAGAUGUCAUUAAUAUCCUCUUAACAAUAACGUUCUUGUCAUUUUCAUUUUUAUUAAUUAAAACUAAAAAAAAUAUUUGCUUUAAAUAAAUUGAAUACUUGAUACACCUACUCAUAUAAAAAUUGCAAGUCAAAUAAACAAACAAGAACUAGAACAAUUAUUUGGAGCAAGGGGAACCUGAUGUAUUCUGGCAACUGAAUUUUUUUUAAAAGAAAUAUGAUUUUUUGGUAUUUGUGAUGUCUAUUUUACAGUUCAUGUCGGGGUCCUAACAAUUUCACCUUCAAGACUUGAACCUAGAUGUUCUCUCGGGAAUGUAAUGUUCCUUCCUUACCACUGCACCCAAUAGUUAUCGGUAGUUUUUAAAAACAUGUUAAUUAAAUAUAAACUUAUUUGAUUAAUCCUUGUUGGUAAUUUUUAAAAAUGGAUUUUAAUAAAGUACAAUUAUGUAUAUUUUCAAUCACCUAUUCAUAUCCUUGCACAAUUAAAACUCACAAGCCUAAUAUUUAUUUAUAAAAAGGUGAAAUGACAAUAAUAUCCUCCUAACUACAAGCCUAAUAUUUAUUUUAUAAAAAAAAGGGUGAGAUGACAAUAAAUUUUUUGUUCAUAUUCAGGUCUAAAUUUUAAAUAAAAUGACUACUUGAUAUACAUACUCAAAUAAAAAUUGUUGGCCAAAUAUACAUGAUGACUAUAAUAACCCUCUAACUAUGGAGCUUUUGUCCUCAAUUUAAUUAAAUUAUCUCCCAAUAUAUUUUCAAAGUACCGUUGGACACUGCUAAUUGAAUUCUUGUUGGCAUACGUGAGGGCCUAAAAGGCAAUUUGUCUAGUUUAGCCAAGGUCCAUGCCAAGAUAGAUGACAUUUAUAUCCUUUUAACUAUAAGGGUUUUGUCGUCUUAACAGGGAGGCUUUUCGAGUUUUAUUUUAUUAAAACUAAAUAAUAUGACUUUGAAUUUGAAGUUAUGUUAUUAAAUAUUUGAAUAAAAUGACUUUGUUAUCAUAUUUAAAUUUAAAAGUCUUACUUGUAAUGCUAGAAGGUUGUGUAUAAAUAUGUGUAUGGAGGUAGAUAUGAAGCAGAAUAGAAGGAGAGUGAACUAAAAAAGGAGUUAAAAAUGGCUUGUCCUCCAACUCACAAAGUGGUAAAAGGUGAGCUUAAGAAUGGUUCUGAUGACUGCCUUGCGAGCUUGAUGUAUUCGAAUUACCAAGGUGCUCCGGUAACGAUUAAAAAAGAUUCAUUACCCACUCCAUUUGCGCAGAAUAUGCUAGUCGACGGUCUGUACGGAGGCCUGGUGUAUGAUGUUGUUAGGGUUAAGUGGAUUAUUCUUUGGACCACUGAUUGUAAGGUAUUAAUUAAUCAAUAUAUUUUUCAUUUAUUUUGAUUUUGUAGCAGAAGAAAUUAAUUAAUUAAACUAUAUAUCAGGUGGCUACUAAGAUCAUUCCGACCGAAAACCAUAUUGUUUGGGAGGAUAUAGUGAGCAUCCUUCAGCCCUACGAUAGCUCUGACAACUUGCCCUUAUCAUGUGGGGGUGCAUUUUCCGCCGAAGCUCAUAUCCAUGCAAAUGGAGAUGGAUCUCUAAACCUGACAGCACAAAUCAUGUGGAGCGGUUGCAAGUAACCUGACUCUCUUUGCAUCAUAUAUUGCUCCAUGCUUAUCUCUAUCAGUUUGUGCUGUGUGACCCACGGAGGCUGUCUACUUCUUUAUAUUAAUAAUACUAUUAAAUAAAUUUGACAGCCACCCCAUAAUAUACUACUGGAUUCCUACUUCUUCUACCUUACCUAUUCAACAUUGUGUGCCUUGUUUCUCCUUUUUCUUUUCUUUUCUGUAAUAGUAUAUACACACACGAUUGUGUGAAUUAAUAAAAAAAUGUCUAUGUCUGUGUCUAUAUCUAUAUCUUUAUAAAAGUGUUGGGUGCAAUAUUAAGACAUAUUGUAUUUUUUGUAGAUUAUAUAAAAUUGGUUAAAUUUCAAGUUUAUCUCUAUAUUUCACUCAAAUUUGAAAUUGAAUCUCUUUACUUUAAUUCUAACAUAAGUUGGCACCUGAAUUCUUAUAAUGUCUUUCGUUAGUCUAAAUAUGUUAUUCUAAUUGAAACGCUCAUGCGAAUUUAAAAGGAUUAUUAACACCAUCAAAAUUCUCUAUUAAAUUAAUUCUAGUCAAUUACAAUGUAAUUUUUUCUGCUCCUUGGGUACCAAGUAUAAGUAUAUUUUUUAAUUUGAAAAUGACAUGCCAACAAGUUUAACAAAAGAAUUAUGACAACGCUAACAAAUGGACCUAAAUUCAAGAUGUGGAGUUCUCUAUUGAUGUGACUUUGAGGAUCGCUCCUAUAACAGGUGUGCUGUAUAGAAUCACUCCAGGAGACAUGAAGGACUUGAAAGUUCAGCUACAAGAACUGUUAGAUAACGGGUUCAUCAGAUCAAGUGUUUCGCCUUGGGGUGCACCAAUAUUGUUUGUUAAGAAGAAGGAUGAGACCCUCCGAUUAUGUAUUGAUUAUAAGCAGCAGAAAAAAGUGACCAUAUUAAGUUGCCCAGGAUUGAGAACUUUUUUGAUCAGCUAACUGGAGCUAGAGUUUUCUCAAAGAUUGAUAUAUGAGCUAGGUAUUAUCAAGUUGAAACUUCCAAAUAUAAAACAACGUAAGAUGUUAAUAAUAUCCUCUUAACAAUAAUAAGAUGGAAGACUAGUAAUAAUAUCUUAACAAUUUAAACUAUUUCAUUUGGAAAUCUAACUAAGGAUCAUUCCCUUGCAUGUGUCAACUUGGUCGUAAAUUAGCGAUUCCUAUCUAGAUGGUCAAUGAUCAAAAUAUAUAAGAAUGUAAAAGAUAAAUAUAAAAAUUAAUCGUUGUUGGUUUUUUUAAAAAAAAUAAAUUUUAAUAAAGUACAAUUAUUUAUAUUUCGAAUCACCUAUCCAUGCACAAUUAAAACUCACAAGUCUAAUAUUUAUUUUUUUUUAAAAAGGUAAGAUGACAAUAAUAUCCUCCUAACUAUGAGGCUUUUGUUGUUAUUCAGGUCUAAAUUUUAAAUAAGAUGACUACUUAGAAAUAAAAUUUUAUUGCGGUCCAGGGACACGUUGAGGAGGAACAAUUAUGGAAAUUACAAAGAUGUAUGGUGGAUGAAACAGCUACCUGAUGCGAUAUUAAGAACUUACAAGGAAGAAUCGUAAAGGUAGGAUUAGGGGAGAUUAGAAUCAGAAGAACCCAAGGUAGAUUCUUCUUGGUCUGCAUACCAGAAGAGGAGCUGUUUGGGAUUUGGUUAUUUGCGAGAGUUCUUUGUUUCAAUCGAACCUUGAUCGGAACUUACAAUGGUGGAAGAGAGGGUAGCAUGGAUAGAUGUGGCUGGAGUUCCGUUACACUGCUGGAAUUACUAAAAAGAAUUAUUAAAAUAAAAAGAAUCCUAAAAGCUAAAAAGCCAUGAAUGCCAAAUUACUAAUGAUCCCAUGCCAAAAUCUUUCAUGUGAUUCCACAUUUUGUAUUUACACUCCACCUACAUUGAAAUUAGGCAAUAAACACAGAAUUUAGUAGCAUCAUGUCCCCAAAUAUAUCAAAAUAAAGCACAUAAAUAUGUCAAUUUGGCACAACAUCAUGUUAGGUGUGUCAAUAAAAUUUACUGUUUGAAAUCUCGCAUAGUUAAAACUUAAACAUAAAAUGUCAUUAAUAUUCUCUUAACAAUUAGGUUCUUGUCCAUUUUCAUUUUUAUUAAUUAAAACUAAAAAAUAUUUUUUUAAAAUAAAUUGAAUACUUGAUACAUCUACUAGUAUAAAAAUUGCAAGUCAAAUAUUCAAACAAGAACAAGAACAAUUAUUUGGAACAAGUGGAACCUGAUGUAUUUUGACAACUAAUUUUUUUUUAAAAGAAAAUUGGUUUUUGGGUAUUUGUGAUGUCAGUUUCACGAUUCAUAUUUUAAAAAGAAAUAUUUGUUGUGCCGUGGGAGUUCAGUUAAACGUUAUUAUUUAGUAGUAAUUAAAAAUCUAGUUCGUUCGGUUUUGAUAAUUUUUGGACUAUUUUUAAACUUUGAAUUUUAACUUGUUUUAUUUCCUGUCUUUAAUUAUUUUGAUGUAUUUCUUAUGAUAUUCAUUGUAUAUGCAAAACCAAGGCUUCCAAUAACAAAUCGCAUUUUACAAAAUCAAACUACAUUAAAAUUCCGCCGCAAACUUAAAUGUUUUAAAAGUAUAACUAAUCAACGGUUUCAUCAAAUUGGUUAAGAUGAGUUCUUUAAAUAACUGUAUUUUUACUUAGCGAAAGCUAGCGUCAUGUUUAUAAGUUUUCAACGAUUAUUGGAUUUUCAAAUGAGUCGUAGUCACUCUUAUAGAUCUAAUCAUAACGUCUAGGUCAGGUUUGAAAUGUUACGCACCAAUAGAUAAUUGUGGACAAUGCCACCAUAAUUGCAGUCAAACUAUCAAGUUAGAAAUAUGUGGUCAAACCAUUAUAAUUGUUGUCAAGCUGCCAUAACAGAAAUGUAGUUAACCCACCAGAUAGUGCAGAUCAUUAAACUAAUAGAUAUUUCUCUUUACCAUAUUAUUCCAACCCCAUGAAUUGUGACAUGGCAUGCAAAUAUAGAAUCUGAAUAAAAAGCAUGUAAGACAUGCAGUUGUACAACAACAAAAAUCAGAAGGCAUGAAAUUCCACACUUUGUAGAACAGAUGUGUCACUAACUCAACAAAAACAAAUUAGUUUCGCCAUAAAGUCAAUGCAUGGUCAUAUAACAUAUUCAUAGAUACAUUAAUUUACAUAAUCACACAACAUAUACUCGUAUACAAACAUCAUGUUAAGUGUGUCAGUAAAAUCUAGAGUUUGAAAUCUCGCAUAGUUAAAACUUAAACGAAAGAUGUCAUUAAUAUACUCUUAACAAUAAGGUUUUUGUCAUUUUCAUUUUUAUUAAUUAAAACUAAAAAAUAUUUACUUUAAAUAAAUUGAAUACUUGAUACACCUACUCAUAUAAAAGUUGCAAGUCAAAUACGCAAACAAGAACUAGAACAAUUAUUUGGAACAAGUGGAGCCUAAUGUAUUUUGACAACUAAAUUUUUUUAAAAGAAAUAUGAUUUUUUGUUAUUUGUGAUGUCCAUUUUAUGGUUCAUGUUGAAGGUCUUAAAAAUGUCACCUUCAAGAUUUGAACUUAAAUGUUCUCUCGAAAUUGUAAUGUUCCUUCUUUACCACUACAUCCAACACUUAUCAUUAGUUUUUAAAAAUAUGUUAAUUAAAUAUAAACUUAUUUGAUUAAUCCUUGUUGGUAAUUUUUAAAAAAUGGAUUUUAAUAAAGUACAAUUAUGUAUAUUUUCAAUCACCUAUUCAUAUCCUUGCACAAUUAAAACUCACAAGCCUAAUAUUUAUUUAUAAAAAGGUGAAAUGACAAUAUUAUCCUCCUAACUACAAGUCUAAUAUUUAUUUUAUAAAAAAAAAAGGUGGGAUGACAAUAAGGUUUUUGUUCUUAUUCAGGUCUAAAUUUUAAAUAAAAUGACUACCUGAUAUAAAUAAUCAAAUAAAAAUUGUUGGCCAAAUAUACAUGAGGACGAUAAUAUCCCUCUAACUAUGGAGCUUUUGUCUUCAAUUUAAUUAAAUUAUCUCCCAAUAUAUUUUCAAAGUACCAUUGGACACUGCUAAUUAAAUUCUUGUUGGCAGUGAGGGCCUAAAAGGCAAUUUGUCCAGUUUAGCCAAGGUCAAUACCAAGAUAGAUGACAAUAAUAUCCUUUUAACUAUAAGGGUUUUGUCGUCUUAACAGGGAGGCUUUUCGAGUUUUAUUUUAUUAAAACUAAAUAAUAUGACUUUGAAUUUGAAGUUAUGUUAUUAAAUAUUUGAAUAAAAUGACUUUGUUAUCAUAUUUAAAUUUAAAAGUCUUACUUGUAAUGCUAGAAGGUUGUGUAUAAAUAUGUGUAUGGAGGUAGAUAUGAAGCAGAAUAGAAGGAGAGUGAACUAAAAAAGGAGUUAAAAAUGGCUUGUCCUCCAACUCAUAAAGUGGUAAAAGGUGAGCUUAAGAAUGGUUCUGAUGACUGCCUUGCGAGCUUGAUGUAUUCGAAUUACCAAGGUGCUCCGGUAACGAUUAAAAAAGAUUCAUUACCCACUCCAUUUGCGCAGAAUAUGAUGGUCGACGGUCUGUACGGAGGCCUGGUGUAUGAUGUUGUUAGGGUUAAGUGGAUUAUU